AUUGAACGCUGGCGGCAGGCCUAACACAUGCAAGUCGAACGGUAACAGGAAGAAGCUUGCUUCUUUGCUGACGAGUGGCGGACGGGUGAGUAAUGUCUGGGAAACUGCCUGAUGGAGGGGGAUAACUAUUGGAAACGGUAGCUAAUACCGCAUAACGUCGCAAGACCAAAGAGGGGGACCUUCGGGCCUCUUGCCAUCGGAUGUGCCCAGAUGGGAUUAGCUUGUUGGUGGGGUAACGGCUCACCAAGGCGACGAUCCCUAGCUGGUCUGAGAGGAUGACCAGCCACACUGGAACUGAGACACGGUCCAGACUCCUACGGGAGGCAGCAGUGGGGAAUAUUGCACAAUGGGCGCAAGCCUGAUGCAGCCAUGCCGCGUGUAUGAAGAAGGCCUUCGGGUUGUAAAGUACUUUCAGCGGGGAGGAAGGGAGUAAAGUUAAUACCUUGGCUCAUUGACGUUACCCGCAGAAGAAGCACCGGCUAACUCCGUG
Molecule: ribosomal RNA, 490 nt
Filed under: uncultured bacterium
Lineage: Bacteria
Description: partial 16S ribosomal RNA
Rfam family: Bacterial small subunit ribosomal RNA
Source: RNAcentral